This 160-nucleotide non-coding RNA is filed under the name Caulobacterales bacterium. RNAcentral describes it as "6S RNA". It matches the Rfam family "6S / SsrS RNA". Rfam says of the family: E. coli 6S RNA was the first non coding RNA to be sequenced, but its function was unknown until recently. It consists of 184 nucleotides that fold into an extended hairpin structure with a large single-stranded internal bulge. Lineage: Bacteria; Pseudomonadati; Pseudomonadota; Alphaproteobacteria; Caulobacterales. The record is from RNAcentral.
CGGUGGCUGCGGUUCCCGAGAGGGCACACAAACUCCAGCGACCUUAAUCGUCUCGAAGGGAGCUGUCCCUGCCAGGGCUCGAGGGCCCAGGCACACGGUGCCCACCUGGUUAUCCAGGUCGAGGGGGUUGAAUCGCCCGACCGGUCCUCGCGGCCCCGCC